This 332-nucleotide ribosomal RNA is filed under the name uncultured bacterium. RNAcentral describes it as "bacterial SSU rRNA". It matches the Rfam family "Bacterial small subunit ribosomal RNA", at positions 598 to 932 of the family's 1533-position model. The record is from RNAcentral.
AAUCCUGCAGCUUAACUGUAGCACUGCCAUUGAUACUGAGAUUCUUGAGUACGGUUGAGGUAGGCGGAAUGUGUAAUGUAGCGGUGAAAUGCUUAGAUAUGACACAGAACACCGAUCGCGAAGGCAGCUCACUAAAGUGAAACUGACGCUCAUGCACGAAAGCGUGGGGAUCAAACAGGAUUAGAUACCCUGGUAGUCCACGCUGUAAACGAUGAUUACUCGAUGUUGGCGAUAUACUGUCAGCGUCUAAGCGAAAGCAUUAAGUAAUCCACCUGGGGAGUACGGCCGCAAGGUUGAAACUCAAAGGAAUUGACGGGGGCCCGCACAAGCGG